Non-coding RNA from Anas platyrhynchos (mallard), 572 nucleotides. The record is from RefSeq and is a predicted model, not a curated record. Lineage: Eukaryota; Metazoa; Chordata; Aves; Anseriformes; Anatidae.
GACAGCUGUGAAACAAGGAUGUCACAUUCCACCAAGUGGCUAUUCCACCAAAUGGAAUAGCCAGUCAGACAUUCACCAGAGUGCUGUAAUAGGAUCCCAAAGUUGUUUGUAAGCCAGAAGGAUACCAGUGUGAUUCUGCAAGAGGGCAAGAUCAGCUGUGGGCACAAUUUAGAAAUGGCAUUGGAGUGGUAGGAGUUGAGAAAGGUUGUACUCCUUUGUCCUGUAAUCUAUGAUGUGACAUAUGGAAUGCCAAGAAUAGACUGUCUGCAGUCCACUUUGUAAAUCUGGUUCAUAGGCACAAAUUUUCUCUGAGUUGGGAAGGAAUCUUGGAAAGGAUCACUUCUACAGUUCCAUCAUUGAAUUCAUCAUCAUUGUCCCAGAGAAGCAGCGAUCAGUGAGAUGUGGCUCAUGGGCUAGGCAUUGGCAAGUUUGCUUUUGGUAGAAGAUCGACUAGUGUGUGUGUGUGUUACGGUUACACUUUGUAAAUAAUUACAGAUAUGAUAAGUUUUAUAUAGAUUAUAAAAAUGAUCUAUUGUAUUCACAUUUUAUGAAGAAUAAAAAAGAUGUAUGAA